UCUCAGGUUUAACCGAAGCAAAAUAUUUGACUUAUUUUGACGGAUAAAAUUUGAUCAACAUGUACUGACGAGAUAAAGGAUAGAAGAUGGGAAGAGGUUUUGGCUGUCUUAUAUUUUGAAUGUACAAGAAUUCUCCUCUAAUUCUACAUCUAGCUAGUUGGACAGACCUGUAAUGUAUCACGAAUAACUGGAUAUUUUCGCCUCUAAUUGGACAUUUUUGUAAACAUGCAUUGUGCAAAUUUCUACAACACGAUAAAUUUUUGGGAGUGCACGCGCAGCCAUGUUGCAACAAGCGAUACAGACUAAAGCGAAGACAGCAUCUCUUUCGGGAAAAACGCAGCCUGGACGAGAAAGAUUGUGAGGAGACGGAGCGGCUUCAUCGUUCUUGAGAGUAGCGGAAGAUGGACCAGGUGGAGCAGAACUUGGAAAGUAUCGGUGCAGUCGGGAGUUGAAGAACUGCAGCUGUGAAGUGAGUGCAUUGAUGGAACAAUGUUGUGAAUCAGAUCCAAGGGAUGUAGCAUCAUUGUAAAUAAAUAAAUAAAUAAAUAUACACAAAAGAACACGGAAGAGAAGAAUCAAAUGGAGAAUGUGCCAUUCCGAGUGUUCGUUUGCAGUACUUGGCGCAGUCUAAACAACCAGACAUUUAUUUCGCAGCCAACGUGGUCAGUUCAAAUCCGUUGCGGCAACUUUACAUCUGAUGCAAUUGGCGAACAAGGAAAUCGGAUAUUCCUUCAAAACACAAAGAUAUAGAUAGGCCCUAUGGAUUCAAUAAUUUACGAGGGGGAAUGUAUGAAAGUAAUAAUUUAUGGGAUUAGAAAGGAUAUAGUCCAAAUCCAAUAAUAACCCUUAGUUUUGCACCAUCAAAAUAAUUAAUCAGAUCUAGUCAUAGAAUGUUGAAAUAGGACGAAUUGAUCUCGAAAUAUGCGAAAAGCUAAAAUACAUGACAGUGGACUAAAAAACUAAUUUAAUGUAGACAUUAGGGUGCCAAUGAAAAUGGUCAUCUCGAGUUUCAAUAAGUUACCCCAUAAAAAAUGUUUACCACCUCGAAAAAACACCCUAUGCCAAAUAUCAGCUCAAUCGGACUUAAGGGAGAGUGGCGCAAAGCGGUCAAAGUUUGAGUUUUUUGAAAAUCUAUUUUGUAACUUUUUUGAAAUUUUAGGGUAGAUUUCUUCCCAUACAUUCAUUGGCACCCUAGUAGACAUAUGUCUUUUGAAAUUUUACUGUAGAACAUUAGUGAAAGCUCUAACAUCUUGUGCCGAAUCAGCACUUUUUUUCAAGAAACAGAGUUAUGUGGAAUUAUUUCUACUCUAUUGACGUCUAAUACUCAUAUACAGGUCGGACUCGAUUAUCCGGGAUUCGAUUAUCCGGAAUUUUAGACUCGAUUAUCCAGAGUAUUUCAUUUUUUGAUUUUUCUUAUUUUUAGAUCGGAAAUUUUUAAUAAUCAAUAUGGGUAUCAAAUGAAAGGAAUUGACUAGUAGAACACAGUUAUUUAUGAAAAAAGUAAAUCCAAGAUGACGGACACAACAAAAUGGUGGAUUACAUAUUUUCUCAGAACCCCAUCAAUAUGUAUAUCAAAUGAAAGGGAUUUACUAGUAGAAUACAGUUAUUUAUGAAAAAUGCGAAUCCAAGAUGGCGUCAUAUAUAUUUUUUUCACUACCCUAUCAAUACGGGUAUGAAAUGAAAUGGCUUGACAAGUAGAAUACAGUUAUUUGUGAAAAAUGUAAAUCCAAGAUAGCGGCCACUACAAAAUGGCGGAAAACAUAUUUUCUCUGAACCCCAUCAAUAUGAAUAUCAAAUGAAAGAGAUGCAAAAAAUACAUAGUUGACCGUUUAGUGGCGGCCAUUUUGGAUGUGUAUUUUUCAUAAAUAACUGCGUUCUUAUAGUUAAGGCCUUUCAUUUGAUACCCAUAUUGAUUGGGUUGUGAAAAAAUAUAUAUGGCGUCAUCUUGUGGUAGCGACCAUUUUGGAUUUGCAUUUUUCAUAAAUAACUGUGUUCUACUAGUCAAUCACUUUCAUUUGAUAUACAUAUUGAUGGGGUUCUGAGAAAAUAUGUAAUCCACCAUUUUGUAGCGGCCUCCAUCUUUUAUUUACAUUUUUCAUAAAUAACUGUGUUCUACUGAUCAAGCCAUUUCUUUCGAUACCCGUAUUGAUGGGGUUUUGGAAAAACCCAUAUUGAGAGAAUUUUGAGAAAAUUUGUAAUACGCCAUUUUGUACCGGCCGCCAUCUCGGAUUUCCAAUAUCAUGGAAUACGCAGUUUUAUAAUGAUAACCCUCAGUUUUACACCAUCAAACUAAUAAUUCAGAUCUAGUCAUAGAAUGUUGAAAUAGGACGAAUUGAUCUCGAAAUAUGGAAAAGCUAAAAUACAUGACAGUGGACUAAAAACAUAAUUUAAUGCAGACAGAUGUCUUUUGCAAUUUCACUGUAGACCAUUAAUGAAAGCUCUAACAUCUUGUGCUGAAUCAGCACUUUUUUUCAAAAAACAGAGUUAUCUGGAAUUAUUUCUACUCUAUUGACGUCUAAUACUCAUAUACAAGUCGGACUCGAUUAUCCGCGAUUAUCCGGAAUUUAAAGAUGUGUUCCAAGUUUCAGAUCAAUCGGUCAACAGGAAGGGGGUUAAAAUUAUAUUAAUAUGGUACAGCUCUACAGCCAAGAUUACAAAUUUACAAAGUUAUAAAGUCUCAAACAUACAAACGGGUCAAGCUAGAUGAAACCGUUUAAUAAAUAAGUGCAAACCAUAAUUAUAUUACGUUUACCGAGAGAAAUUUGUUUUUUUUUUGACUCGAUUAUCCGGUGUGAAAAAAAAAAAACAAUACUCCGGAUAAUCGAGUCCGACCAGUACUCUAAUUCUAAGUGUGCUAUUCAUUAUAAAAUAUUAGUAGGCUUUGAGAUGAAUUGUAAAAAAGAAAGGCAGAAUAAAGAUAGUUCCGGAAGUGUAAGACGUGUUCAGUGAUUGGGAAACCAAAUCUCCGAAUAUUAUACCUUAUCCGAAUCGGGAUUACCACAUCUGGCGACGAGGAGCGGAAACGUACUCUUCGCACUUUAAAGAAAAUAGGCAACAGCCGCUGCAAUAAGCAGAAAAAGGUUAUUUCCGCUGCUGUAGAGCAGGGACAGGCGUCGAGCCGCUGCUUGAAAUCAAGGCAUUAGCCGCUGCGUAAAGGCAGAAAAAAGGCGUGUUAGCCGCUGCAUGUGAGCAGAAAAGAACAGAAUCCGUUGCACGUGAGCAAGGAAAGGCGUGAAGCCGCUACCUGAAGUAGAAAUAGGCUCAAGCCGUCGAUUUGAAUUGGAACGGAAAGCAUACAAUCCGUCGCCUACUGAGCGUUUCUGAUGGAGAGUUGGAACAUCAAUCCCUUCAAAUUCAGUCAUCUUCCAGAUUCGCAAGUUCGUAAAGAAUGGUUGCGAUGGAAACUAAAUUUCGAAGUAAUCGUCGCUGCUAGUGAAGAGAAAAAUGCUACCAAAUUGAAAAUCUUUUUACUGGCGAAAGGCGGACUCGAAUUGCAGGACUUGUUUUACUCGAUCGAUGGCGCAGACGUUGAAGGAGAUGCUGAAAAGGGAAUAGACCCUUUUAAAACAGCUAUUGGAAAGCUAGAUGGACAUUUCUCGCCGAAACAGCACGAUUCGUUCGAACGGAACGGGUUUUGUAAAAUGGUUCCAACGAUAACUCCGGAGGGAACAAGUGAGCCAUUGACCAAGUUUUUGAUGCGAUGUACCGAAAAAGCGAAAAGAUGCGAUUUUGGGAAAACAGAAGCAGAAAGUCGAGAUUUGCGUGUUAUCGACAAAAUUAUUUACCACGCACCGGCUGAGUUGAGAGAACGAUUACUCCACGAAGAAACGCUUACGUUGUCACAAGUAUCCAGGAUUAUGACUUCGUUUGAAUCGAUUAAACAGCAAGUUCAAGCAAUUGCUGGAAAUGGUAACGGUGAUGUAAUGACAGUUCAACGUAUGAGUCAAGAUAAUGUGAAUCGUAUAUAUGUAAGUGGCAAGCCAGCGAAUGGAUGUUGUUAUCGAUGUGGACAAAGGAACCAUUACGGAAAUGAUCAACAGUGCCCAGCUCGUAAUAAAAUUAUGUAAGUUUGGACAUUUCGCUCGAGUGUGUCGGUCAACGACGAAACGUAGGUAUGAAGAUCCAAUUCCAUAUCCAGCUCGUAAGAAAGUUAAAACAGAUAAUGUACGAGCGAUAUCAACAACAGAGAAUGGAAAUAGUUCGAGCUUCAUUUAUAAUAUUGGUGAUGGAGAUGAAUUCCUUUGGGUUAACGUUGGAGGUGUACUUAUUAAGAUGCUAAUUGAUUCCGGUAGGCACUUGGCAAAGCAUGCUUGAGCAAGGAGUUAAAAGCUGAAACCGAAACAAGUCCCAAAUACGAUUCUGCGUGCGUAUGGCCGUAACACGAAACCCUUAGUUGUGUCACAUGUUCACAUGUUCACAGCAUUGUGUCAGUUGGAGCGAGACGUUUUCCGAAGAUAAAAAAUGUUCAGCUGAUUAUUCCAAUCAACAGAGACGUUGCUCCAAUAGCUCAGCGAGUCAGACGUCCUCCGAUUGCACUCCUGAGUCGAAUCGAAGAGAAGCUGGACCAAUUACUCGUAGCAGAUAUCAUCGAACCUAUGUCAGGAGCAGCGCCAUGGGUUUCACCGUUGGUAACCAUUGUCAAAGAUAAUGGAGAUCUUCGUCUUUGCGUAGAUAUGCGGCGUGCCAAUCAGGCUAUCAUGAGAGAACAUCAUAUGAUGCCCACGUUUGAAAGCUUCCUUCCAAGUUUGAAGACAGCCAAAUACUUUAGUCGGCUUGACAUCAAGGAUGCAUUUCACCAGAUUGAGUUAGCUGAAGAAUCACGUUUUAUUACAACCUUCAUAUGUCACAAAGGGUUGUAUAGAUACAAAAGACUUAUGUUUGGCAUUUCUUGCGCUCCAGAAAUGUUCCAAAAAACUAUGGAGCAAAUUUUGGCCGGGUGUAAAAAUGUCAUUAAUUGACGACAUUUUCAUUUUCGGAGAAACGGAAGAAGAGCAUAAUAUUGCUCUAGCCAAAGUUCUAUCCGUAUUAAAAGAUAAUAACAUUAUGCUGAAUCAAGAUAAAUGUAUAUUCAAAGUCCAAAAACUCGAGUUUCUUGGUCAUGUUAUUUCAUCUGAAGGAAUAUGACCAACUGAUCAGAAAAUUCAAGCUUUAAAAAAGUUUCGUGAACCUCGUACCUCAGACGAAGUGAGAAGCUUUCUUGGUUUAGCUACAUAUGUUGGAAAAUUCAUACCUGAUUUAGCAACAAUCACUGCUCCAUUGCGAGAACUAAUCUGCGUUAACAAACCAUUUAAAUGGACGGAUGAACAUCAAAGAAGUUUUCAGAAGCUAAAACAGUUGAUAUCGAAUGCUAGCACUCUUGCUUUCUUUAAUGAUUCUUUCCGCACAAGGGUUGUAGCUGAUGCCUCCCCGGUUGCUUUGGGUGCAGUUCUUGUACAAUUUGCAGAUCACACUGAUGAUUGUCCACGUAUAAUCAGCUAUGCUAGUAAAAGCUUAACUGAUACUGAAAAACGUUACUGCCAAACGGAGAAAGAGGCUUUGGCCUUGGUAUGGGCAGUAGAAAAAUUCUCAGAAUAUUUGAUUGGCAGAAAAUUCGAACUGGAGACUGAUCAUAAACCACUUGAAGUAAUUUUCAGUCCAUCAUCCACGCCGUGCGCAAGAAUCGAACGAUGGGUCUUGAGAUUACAAUCGUUUAGAUUCACGGUGAAGUACCGUAAAGGAAGCGGAAACAUUGCAGACUCUUUGUCUCGGUUGGUUUGCUCGGAUGGUGCUGAUGACUUCGGAAAGGACAACAAGUUCAUGAUUUUGGCAAUUCAAGAAUCUGUGGCGAUAGAUGUUAACGAAAUUGAGGAAGCUUCACGUGAUGAUCCAGAGAUUUUUGCAGUAAGAGAAUGUCUUCGUGCUGGAAUCUGGAAAACCCCAGUAACAAAACACUUUGAACCAUUCCAAAAUGAGUUAGGUUUUAUAGGAGAUAUUAUGAUCCGAGGUAAUAAACUGGUGGUUCCCAAGAAAUUGAGGGAACGGAUGUUACAGCUGGCACAUGAAGGUCAUCCCGGAGAAUCUGUUAUGAAGCGACGGUUGCGAGAUCGAGCAUGGUGGCCUUCAAUGGAUCGUGAAACAAAGGAGUACUGCAAAGCAUGCGAAGGUUGUCAGUUGGUUGGUUUUCCGAGCCGACCAGAACCAAUGAGCAGGAGAGAAUUACCCACGAAGCCGUGGGUUGAUAUCGCCAUUGACUUCAUGGGUCCCCUUACUUCAGGUGAACAUCUACUGGUAAUUAUUGACUAUUUCAGUAGAUACAAGGAAGUUGAAAUCAUGAAUCGCAUCACUGCUUCUGAAACUGUUGAGCGCCUAAGCAAGAUUUUUACCCGCUUAGGAUAACCAAAAACCAUCACGCUGGAUAAUGCUAAACAAUUUAUUGGCAAAGAAUUUGAGGAAUAUUGUAAGAUUCAUGGUAUUAUUCUAAACCAUUCAGCCGCAGGAAAACGGUUUGGUGGAACGACAAAACAGGUCACUGCUAAAACGAUUGCAGAUUAGUUACGGACUUGGCAGAGACUGGAGAAAAGAUUUGAAAGACUAUUUAAUCAUGUAUUACACAACAGUUCAUUCCACAACGGGUAAAACACCAACAGAAUUGUGUUAUCAGAAGCAAGUUACCAGCCAUUGAUGAUAUUGAGACAACUCCACCUGCAUCUGACUACCGACAUCAAGAUUUUUUGAACAAACAUAAAGGAAAGGAGCGAGAAGAUAUGCGACGACAUGCGAAGACUUCUAUUAUCAGCGAAGGGGAUACUGUACUCAUGAAGAAUCUAACACCAAGAAACAAAUUAACAACAGCAUUCAAUAAAACCAAAUUUACCGUAUUGGAUCGGUCAGGACCAAGAGCAACUGUUGUAGACCCGAAUUCUGGAGUAACAUAUCAAAGAAAUGUCGCUCACCUGAAGAAGAUCGUUAACGUGCCUGAAACUUCGACAGAGGAACAAAUAAAUGAAAACGAUCCUGAAAAGUCAAUAGACGAAGAAGAGGAUUUUGCAGGAUUUGGCGAUGAAGAAAAUGAAACUUUCAACACUGGAUUUGCUCCUUUGCUUUAGACUAGUAAUGAAUACUAAUGGUGUGGUUGACGAACUUUUUUAAAUGAUCAAACAUUGUUAAUUUUAUAAAAUUUCAAGAAAAGGGAGAUGUGCUAUUCAUUAUAAAAUAUUAGUAGGCUUUGAGAUGAAUUGUAAAAAAGAAAGGCAGAAUAAAGAUAGUUCCGGAAG
Toxorhynchites rutilus septentrionalis is the source of this 7253-nucleotide long non-coding RNA. RefSeq lists it as uncharacterized. The record is from RefSeq and is a predicted model, not a curated record. Lineage: Eukaryota; Metazoa; Arthropoda; Insecta; Diptera; Culicidae. The transcript has 3 exons.